GAAGAAAGCGGGGGGCGUGCUUAACACAUGCAAGUCGAACGGAAAGGCCCUGCUUUUGUGGGGUGCUCGAGUGGCGAACGGGUGAGUAACACGUGAGUAACCUGCCCUUGACUUUGGGAUAACUUCAGGAAACUGGGGCUAAUACCGGAUAGGAGCUCCUGCUGCAUGGUGGGGGUUGGAAAGUUUCGGCGGUUGGGGAUGGACUCGCGGCUUAUCAGCUUGUUGGUGGGGUAGUGGCUUACCAAGGCUUUGACGGGUAGCCGGCCUGAGAGGGUGACCGGCCACAUUGGGACUGAGAUACGGCCCAGACUCCUACGGGAGGCAGCAGUGGAGAAUAUUGCACAAUGGGCGGAAGCCUGAUGCAGCAACGCCGCGUGCGGGAUGACGGCCUUCGGGUUGUAAACCGCUUUCGCCUGUGACGAAGCGUGAGUGACGGUAAUGGGUAAAGAAGCACCGGCUAACUACGUG
Molecule: ribosomal RNA, 468 nt
Filed under: uncultured bacterium
Lineage: Bacteria
Description: partial 16S ribosomal RNA
Rfam family: Bacterial small subunit ribosomal RNA
Source: RNAcentral